Molecule: RNA transcript, 1132 nt
Organism: Armigeres subalbatus
Lineage: Eukaryota; Metazoa; Arthropoda; Insecta; Diptera; Culicidae
Exons: 3
Source: RefSeq, a predicted model, not a curated record
AGAAAAGUAGCAAUCAGUCGACGAAAUUGUAAUCAAUAAAACGCGUGAUUUUUAAUCCACCAAGGAGCCAUAUUAGGACGCCAAAUUACUCUUUGUUGAGGUCGAGAAUACAUUAUAAAGUGAUCUACCGGUUAUCAUCGCAGUGCCAAUUAUCACCACAUUAACUGGGUGCCUACCCAGUUUAGUACCUAUACACUCUGUCAGCGAGCCAUACAAUAGGUGCGGCACAAAUUGGACGAGACAACUUCGACGACGACGGCAUAUUCGGGGUGCGAAAUUGCAGAACGGAUUCGUUACAGUUGGCAAAGGUCAAGCGCCAGCUAGGUGCAGUUUGAACAGCAGUAUCGAUUACCAUUGGAAACGUCCCGGUCAUGGCUCAUCGCAACCAGCUAAGAGUCAGUAAAAGCUCAUCAUAUUCGCUUCGGCCCAAGAUCUCCAUUUCGAUGAAGGAAGUUGGAAAGUCACCCAGGGGUGAAUCGCGCCUGGACAAUAAUGGACUUCCGGUGGUACUUGUUCGGGUUGAUAGAGGACAGGACGAAUUACACUCGAGCGAUGGGGGCAGGCUAAUCCCUGAUAUUCCCAUUCGAAUCAAUCAGGAUGGUAACGAGUCGCGAUCCGGGGAUGGAGGCAGGGAACUCCCUGAGAAGGCCGUUCGAAUGAGAAGGAAGCGUAAGCGAGAUACACGGAUAAAGGAGCCUGUAAAUGACGAUCUACGUAGGUCGAAGCGAGUUAAAAUGAUGAAUAGAAACAGUGAUUAUGUGUAUGAUAAAUGGUAGCGAUGAAUUAUGUAAUCUACAAUAUCUGAGUUAGACUAUAUGUAGAUAUCAAACGAAUUGUACCAUAUCAGUAAUUCUGAAUUCUGAAUUUUUAAAUAUGAGCUUGUUGAAAACAUUAGUAAAAUUAACAAAGUUCAUUUCGAACUCAAUUAUAGAAGGAAGAGCUGUUGUAUCCGCAUUAGCGGAAUUUCACUUUAGAAAGUAAAUGUAGCUAUACUGUGAACUCAUGAAUAUAUUAUAAUUCAUUCCGAUCGGAAGUUCCAAUACGGAUGUAUAUGUGCUUGGCGAUCUCUAUAAAGGAAAAAAUAUACGUUAAUAGCUCACUCGAUUUCAGACAGAGCUCAGAAACAGUUGUG